AACUGUAAUCUAGAUGCUAAACCCUUUUUAAAAAUCCUUUUUCUUAUUCUUUUCCUCAAGGGCCCUUCAUUCAGAAGUGUGCUCCACUGACUGAUUUUAAUACGUUCAGGCAAGAGAACCAAUUCAUUUUUUCUCUGCAAGGAGCAGCUCAGGAAAGCCUUGCCAGUUGUAUGAAUGUCCCUCUCAGUAACACCUGCAGCAGCUCUGGCACCCAGAUGUGUGUGUGACACAUCAGUUCAAAUGAUCCCUUAUUUAUUUUGAAGUGAGGCAUAGCUACUCUUCAGAUUUAUGUUAUGUAAAACAGUGAGAAAAUUACAUCUAUCAAGACAAA
This 331-nucleotide long non-coding RNA is filed under the name Cyanistes caeruleus (blue tit). Its description in RNAcentral is "lncRNA (ENSCCEG00000016240.1)". Lineage: Eukaryota; Metazoa; Chordata; Aves; Passeriformes; Paridae. The record is from RNAcentral.